Molecule: ribosomal RNA, 448 nt
Filed under: uncultured bacterium
Lineage: Bacteria
Description: bacterial SSU rRNA
Rfam family: Bacterial small subunit ribosomal RNA
Source: RNAcentral
CCAGACUCCUACGGGAGGCAGCAGUGGGGAAUAUUGGGCAAUGGGCGCAAGCCUGACCCAGCAACGCCGCGUGAAGGAAGAAGGCUUUCGGGUUGUAAACUUCUUUUCUCAGGGACGAAGAAAGUGACGGUACCUGAGGAAUAAGCCACGGCUAACUACGUGCCAGCAGCCGCGGUAAUACGUAGGUGGCAAGCGUUAUCCGGAUUUAUUGGGUGUAAAGGGCGUGUAGGCGGGAGCGCAAGUCAGAUGUGAAAACUCAGGGCUCAACCUUGGAACUGCAUUUGAAACUGUUGGUCUUGAGUAUCGGAGAGGCAGGCGGAAUUCCUAGUGUAGCGGUGAAAUGCGUAGAUAUUAGGAGGAACACCAGUGGCGAAGGCGGUCUGCUGGACAGCAACUGACGCUGAGGCGCGAAAGCGUGGGGAGCAAACAGGAUUAGAUACCCCCGUAA